AAUGGGAGAGAUGGGGAAAGAUCAUAGCCCACGGGGUGCUGGUUCAGAAUGUCCUCCCAAAUUCAACUUCUCCCUCUGGGCAAGAUGCCUUUUGGGGUCUGUGUUGGGUUUCUUCUUGCCAUUCUGGAAGGCAAAAUUGGCAAAUUUGGAGAGGAUUGAAGGAGAAGCAGAGAUGGUGGUGGAGGUCGCGGAGAAUGUGGCGGAAGUGGUGGAAAAGGUAGCCACGGUGGCGAAAAA
This is a long non-coding RNA of Hibiscus syriacus, 237 nucleotides long. RefSeq lists it as uncharacterized. The record is from RefSeq and is a predicted model, not a curated record. Lineage: Eukaryota; Viridiplantae; Streptophyta; Magnoliopsida; Malvales; Malvaceae. The transcript is spliced from 3 exons.